Molecule: ribosomal RNA, 405 nt
Filed under: uncultured bacterium
Lineage: Bacteria
Description: partial 16S ribosomal RNA
Rfam family: Bacterial small subunit ribosomal RNA
Source: RNAcentral
AUUGAACGCUAGCGGGAUGCUUUACACAUGCAAGUCGAACGAGUGGCGGACGGGUGAGUAAUGUAUGGGAACGUGCCCAGUAGCGGGGGAUAACUACUCGAAACGGUGGCUAAUACCGCAUACUAUUGGAGCGGCCGAUAUGGGAUUAGCUAGUUGGUGGGGUAAAGGCUCACCUAGGCAACGAUCCGUAGCUGGUUUGAGAGGAUGACCAGCCACACUGGGACUGAGACACGGCCCAGACUCCUACGGGAGGCAGCAGUGGGGAAUAUUGGACAAUGGGCGAAACCCUGAUCCAGCCAUCCCGCGUGUAUGAGAAGGCCUUCGGGUUGUAAAGUACUUUCGGCAGAGAAGCGGUACCUGCAGAAUAAGCACCGGCUAACUACGUGCCAGCAGCCGCGGUAAUAC